Gopherus flavomarginatus (Mexican gopher tortoise) is the source of this 690-nucleotide non-coding RNA. NCBI's taxonomy places the organism in Eukaryota, Metazoa, Chordata, Testudines, Testudinidae. The record is from the annotation of a RefSeq genome assembly.
AUGACCCCCAGCCUGGCCAUCACCUUCCUCCUGCUGCUCCCAGAGGGUGUCUAUUCCCAGGUCAGCCUGGUGGAGUCUGGUGGGGGACUGAAGAAACCCAGAGAGACGCUCAGACUGACCUGCACCGUGUCCGGAAUCUCUCUCUCUAGCUACGGGACGCACUGGGCCCGCCAGCCAGCGGGGAAGGGGCUGGAAAGGAUGGGAGAAGUCAGCUCCCAAAUCCAGCUGCCCCAGUCUGUGGCAGAGAUCAAGAAGCCUGGAGAGUCUGUGAAGGUGACAUGUAAAACCUCUGGCUACACCUUUACAGCUGUUAGGGGAUGUGGUUCAGACCUGGGUCUGGAUAUGGAGCAGGCUAGUGCCCGCUCCCAGAUCCAGCUGGUGGAGUCCGGAGGGGAUGUGAAAAAGCCCGGAGACUCUCUCCGCCUCUCCUGCAAAGCCUCCGGCUUCACCUUCAGCAGCUACGGCAUGAGCUGGGUCCGGCAGGCUCCUGGGAAGGGGCUGGAGUGGGUGGCUAGUGUUAGCUCCCCAAGCGGAUCGAGCCAGUGGUAUGCUAAGGCUGUUGAAGGGCGAUUCACCGUCUCCAGAGACAACUCCAUCACCGCGGUGUACUUACAGAUGGGCAGCCUGAAACCCGAGGACACCGCCGUGUAUUACUGCGCCAGAGACACAGCUUCCUCCUUCUCCCAGUGA